GAAAAAUAUGAACUGAUUAUGCCGCAGGAUUCAUAAUCCUGAGGUCGAGAGUUCAAGUCUCUCCAUCACCA
RNAcentral lists this transfer RNA (71 nucleotides) under Methylophilales bacterium MBRSF5. RNAcentral describes it as "tRNA-Leu". It matches the Rfam family "tRNA", at positions 15 to 71 of the family's 71-position model. Rfam says of the family: Transfer RNA (tRNA) molecules are approximately 80 nucleotides in length. Their secondary structure includes four short double-helical elements and three loops (D, anti-codon, and T loops). Lineage: Bacteria; Pseudomonadati; Pseudomonadota; Betaproteobacteria; Nitrosomonadales. RNAcentral also lists the same sequence under 2 other names. The record is from RNAcentral.